RNAcentral lists this non-coding RNA (735 nucleotides) under Haementeria acuecueyetzin. The record is from RNAcentral. Lineage: Eukaryota; Metazoa; Annelida; Clitellata; Rhynchobdellida; Glossiphoniidae.
AUAGUUUGAUUCUAACUAAAUUAUUAAAGAUUAUUUUACACCUCAUGUGUAAACAAACUAAAAGUGUAAAAUUAGUAUAACAAUUAUGAAUAAUCUAAAAAUACAGUGGAUAAUACUAGUCAAUAUAUGUAAAUAUGAACUGGUAAAAAUAUAUUACAUUGGCCAAAUUUGUGCCAGCAGCCGCGGUUAGACAAAAAAUAUUUAAUAAUAAAAACUCUACAAGAUAUUAUAUAAUCAUUAAUAGGUUUAAUUAAAACUUAUUUAGUACCUAAAAUAUCAUUAAUAAAUUAUUGACUAAAACAAGGAUUAGAUACCCUUUUAUUAAUAACCUAUAAUAAGAGUUGGAAAGUACGAACAACUGUUUAAACACCAAAGAAUUUGGCGGUGUCUUAUCUUAUUAGGGGAACCUGUCCUAUAAUUCGAUAAUCCACGUAUAGAUUACCUAAUUUAGAAAUUCAGUAAGUGUACUGCCGUCUUUAGUAUACCUUUAUGAGAGUAUACAAUAAAUUUUAAAUUUAUUUUACGUCAGGUCAAAGUGCUGCCUAUAAUUGGGAUGAGAUGGGUUACAAUCUUUAUAUAGAUAACGGAAUAAAAUAUAAAUAUAUUUUAUAAAGGUGGACUUAAUAGUAAUUAUUUUAUAAAAUAAUGAAAAUAUGUUAAGACAAGUACAAAUCGCCCGUCACUCCUUUAAGGAUAAGUCGUAACAUAGUUGAUGUAACGGAAGUUGCAUCUGUU